Molecule: ribosomal RNA, 449 nt
Filed under: uncultured bacterium
Lineage: Bacteria
Description: partial 16S ribosomal RNA
Rfam family: Bacterial small subunit ribosomal RNA
Source: RNAcentral
AACGAACGCUGGCGGCAGGCCUUACACAUGCAAGUCGAACGGGACCUUCGGGUCUAGUGGCGGACGGGUGAGUAACGCGUGGGAACGUGCCCUUUGGUUCGGAAUAGCCCCGGGAAACUGGGAGUAAUACCGGAUAAGCCCUACGGGGGAAAGAUUUAUCGGCAAAGGAUCGGCCCGCGUUGGAUUAGGUAGUUGGUGGGGGAAUGGCCUACCAAGCCGACGAUCCAUAGCUGGUUUGAGAGGAUGAUCAGCCACACUGGGACUGAGACACGGGCCAGACUCCUACGGGAGGCAGCAGUGGGGAAUCUUAGACAAUGGGGGAAACCCUGAUCUAGCCAUGCCGCGUGAUCGAUGAAGGCCUUAGGGUUGUAAAGAUCUUUCAGUGGGGAAGAUAAUGACUGUACCCACAGAAGAAGCCCCGGCUAACUCCGUGCCAGCAGCCGCGGUAA